Long non-coding RNA from Sapajus apella (tufted capuchin), 145 nucleotides. RefSeq lists it as uncharacterized. The record is from RefSeq and is a predicted model, not a curated record. The transcript has 3 exons. Lineage: Eukaryota; Metazoa; Chordata; Mammalia; Primates; Cebidae.
CCUCCUACAACAUUAAAAAAAAAGUGGUGGUUAUAUAAGUACCUCGGCUCUCAUCCCUUUGGUCUACAAAGACUCAUGGAGUAAAUUUUUGGUUAAAAAAAAUGUCAUUUUGGCCGGGCGCGGUGGCUCACGCCUGUAAUCCCAG